AGCAUGCAUCACAUGCAAGGUGCAGUUAUUAUGUGCAGGCAAAUUGUCAGGGCUCUGUGCUGAGGUCAUAACAGGCCUUUGCUUAGAAACACACGUCCCACACCAUGGAACCCUCCACAGCAACAGCCGCACUGGAAUUUAAUGAAGGUCCGGUGAUCGUAUCGCCACCUCAGCUCCGGGUCUGGGAAAUGUCAGGCGUACUGCGGCAGUCUAAAGCUCACGCUGAGCAAGCUAAGACAAGAUAAGCCUCUAUGGCGUUACAGCGACACCGGAUAGCCUGAUAACAUCCAACUGUCUUCAGCUGCAAGUCGCUACCCCCCCCAGAAAUUCAUCCUCAAGCACAGGAUCCUGUACUGCUUAGCUUUUCUCCAGCCUGAUGGGAAAGAGAUAAGUGUAAUAUUGUGUUUUGGUUAGAGCCCGAGCCCAGUUCAGCCAGUUUGGUUCAGGGACUGGUGGCACUAGUCGUAGAAAGCGCUUCCGUGUCAGGGUACAGAAUUGAAUGCAAUAUCGUCCAAGAUUAAUCUAUGCCCUGACAACUCUGUGCAGUGCUAAAGCAAUCUCUCAGGUGUCUGACAGGAUUUGGCGCAAAUUCUGGGAAAGCGAAGGUAUUGGAUUCUUCACUCCUUCCAGGAAAAAGGGGCUUCUUUCUGGAAUGUGAUUAUUUCAUAUUUGUCUUGCAGGGUCCACUUCAGAGGUAGGAAGAACCACCACAGAAGUGUUUGAGAACAGCGGCAUUGUGGGUAAUCUGGACCCUCACUAACCCACAACCAACCCUGAACUCCACAACCCUCUGUACUCUCUCUCUCUAUGCUUGUCUGCCCAAAAUAGGUAGAUGAUUCCUUAUUUUUAGAUCAUGCAAAUAACUCUGUCCUCAUGGAAAAAACACAAAGCUAUUUAUGCACGUAACUGACAUUUCCUAGACGAUUUUACAGCUUAGCAUCUGAAGCGGGCUGCUUUUUGUCUGGUUUAUUGCAAAUUCCCUGCUGUCAUUUACAGGGAUUUGGUGUGGGGGCUUGUUAUUAAUCCCUGUAAGUUUUUUUUCCACAGUACAUCCAAUAAUGGGAUAUAAGAUGGCAGAGGCGGGAUACAGAUCUUAAGGCUGCAAGCUUCACUCUAGCUAUAAACGCAAAUCUCCUACGUUUUUUUUUUCUCUUUAAGUUGCCAUCAUAUAAUAUUUCAGCCAUAAUAUUGCGACACCUAAUGCAGAGAUUCGAUCAAACACUCACUUAAGGUUCACUCGUUAUUGCAUUAUCUUUAAAUGUAUUCCGCAGGAACAAGAAGAAUACGUUAUAUAACUGGAAUCUAAAAGAGGAAAGACGAUUUUAAAAAUUUAAAAGUGAAUGAGCACGGCUUCGAGGCCUAUUCCCUGCAGGUAAACACUGCUCUCCCUGGAUCUCUGUAGUCGCAAAAAAAGUAAUUUCAUCACAUAACACGGAUUUGCUUUCAAACGCUAGAAGCCAUUAGGCAUUCAGGACGGCCCGACGAGCCGGUAUAAUACUGAAGGGCGCAGUCGCGUUUGACUUUCUGAGAAGUUACCGGAUCGCCAGCGAUGUUAUUGCCGAGGCUUGAGCCGGCCUCUCCGCGGUCAGCGGCCGGGGCUCUCUGCGGGCGUCCCUCCCGGCGCACAAAGCCGCCGUUGUGGGGAGCGAGAGCGCCGCUGAGGUUUUCAUUUCAUUUACAAAGCCACGGCGAGCUAUAUUAGGAUCAAAUUGACAGGGCUGUUAUGAAGAAAUUCGAUUGUGGAUUCCAGCUGCGCAUAAUUACGUGGGAAUUUCCUACUGCGUCCGAAUCAGGCGCGUUGCAUCUGAAUGACGGAUAUUUAAAAACACUGCAGUCGAAUAUAUAUAUAGAUAUAUAUAUAUAUAUAUACACAUACACUCAUAUAAACAUGAAGGUUUAUUUCAAUACAGCCUUCAAAUUGUUUAGUGAACAUUAUCAGUGAUGCUGUAGGAAGUUGCCCUAUUCUGAAAUAACACUUUAACAUUUGCACAAGCAUGAAAGCAGGUAAUUUGGAAGUUAGUUAGUUUGCAUGUCCCACCAUGCUUUUUCUUUUCUUAAAGAAAUACAUACAGAUAUUGUGGCGGGACAAAAGCUUGGGGUUAAACCAGCACCACUGAAGAAUUUUUCAGGGGUUAAAGGGAUUGCAGAGGGGAGUCAUACAGUAGAGUUGGGGAAAUUUAGGAUGAUUCCGAAAACUAAAUUUGGAACAUAAUUAGACAGGUCUGGGUUGGAGGCCAAAUAUGAUGUUUUCAUGAGGCCCAAAUACUCUAACGGUGACCCUGGAUCGAGGGCCAAAGAUGUAGCCGAUCUGCUGAACACGGGAUUCGAACCGACGACCUUCCGAUCACAAGCACCACACCUCCACUUUUAAAGAAGUGAAAAGUGAAAGACAUAAAAAGCAGCAUAUUUGAUUUUACAAAUCUGUGAACGCACUGAACACUUUACUAAAACAUAUGCCCAACGACAGCCUCUGCUUUGGCUAUAAUAGCAUUCUGAUGAUUAAUAUUUAUAUUCCACACACACUGUCAAAAGUAAAGAGGGUAUCUCCUUCACAUCCUGUUAAAGGGUAUAUCCCUGUCUUUCCGAUUCGUCUGACAAGCUGUUCGUGAGGUUAAUUUAAGAAUCUUUUCAUAAAUGAUUCAUGGGAACAGUCACAAAAUUAUACUUUAAAAGCUUCUCCUUAAGAUGUUCUAUAAAGGGAGAUCUGUAUAUAUAGACAGACACUAUAAAUACAGAGGGCGAUAACACAAGGGAGAAUGGGAUUGCUGGUGAAUUAUUUUUCCAUGUCUGCCCAGCCCAGUGGGGAGAGCAGGCUGGCUGUUUCCUAGCGGUACAACGACGCAACCUUUCAGCAAACAGCUGGAGCGAGCAGCGGUGAUGAAUACCCCAGUCGCAGAGAUGCUGAAAGGCGUUCUGCUGCGGCAGGAACAAGGUGAAAUAUUGACUCAUCAACGCAGUGAGCGCAGUAACAGCACCGGACGUAUCGGACGGGCCCGACGGUGAUGCUGUGACAGUAAUAUAUAUGGAUUUCAGGUUUUUAUACGGAUACCGCGUGUGCCGCUUCUUAGUGGGUCCCAUAUUGACGAAAGGUCCGGGCCCAGCAUUUUCACCAUUGUGACACGGCCUUCAAUCUUCUUUAUAUAUCACCAACGCUGGAACAGGUAAACAGAGAGCCCCGCAUUUUAGUUUCAGGGCCUCGCAGUCGGAUAAUCCACCAAUGCCUCUGUCCUGGGACACGAAUCCUGGUAUAGCUUGAAUCCCCCCGAAGUGUCGCAUUUAAACUGCCAAACACUGGUGCAUUGCAUUUCAUUUUUUUUUAAUUAUUGUAGGGCAAGACAAAAAAGAAACACAAGGCAAGCUAAGAUAAUUCGAGCUUUUCGUGCUACCGGCCUGAUACUUGGAGAAACACAUCGAUGGAAACUCUGGAUACCACGUUGCUUGGAGAUCCGUAUCGAGCCUAAGACCGGCCCUCGACGGCACCCCUCGGGGGCGACUUGGGACUCCAGAAACACCACUGGGCACUUAACAAAUUCAUUUUAGCCUUUAUUUGCACCGACAAUAUAGUAGAAACCAGUAUAACCAGUAUAAAAAAGAACCCUAUUAGGCAGCGGCACUCAUUGGUACACAUCAGUCUAUCCAUACAGUUUUCGAUAAACCAGCUGUCUCUUUAAAUAACACAGUAUACAUGUCACUUUAAGAAUAAAAACGUCUAUUGUCGUUUUCUGAUGAAAAGCACGUAUUUCCGCUUCAUCACAACUGUGACUUUUUACUAUAGACGGAAUGCACCCAUUUCCGCUGAUAGCAUUUGACAUAUAUAAUGGAGCAAUGAAAAAAAGGUUUAUGAAGUUAUCUAUUUAAGUAGUUUUAAGGUUUGUACGCGUUAAUGUGUAUUUGUGAUGGUCAUCUCUAUGGAUUUCUUUAUAUCACUAAUUUGAUCAACUUGCCGUUGACAGCUAGACAGCUAGCUAAUGUUACUGCUAUUUGAGAAUAUAAAGGGAGAUUAGUUUGUACCAUGACACUGACACAUUUGCCUUACUGAUAACAGUCCAGGUAAAGCCAUUUAAAACAUGAAACCGUCUACUGGCGGCGGUGAAAGGACAGGUUUCUGUUUGUGUGCCUCAUUUUGGGCUGAGAAGAUGCAUUUUUUCCACACUCCUGAAAUAAUGGAUUUUUUGAGAUUCAUGUUUUUCUUCCGACAGCGACUGUAUAAUAUAUAUGUGUGUGUGUGUGUGUGGAGUAAGUGUAUACUACUUUGUGGAGAACCCCCAGAUUUUAAUAUAAACCUGUUUUUCUGA
Long non-coding RNA from Brienomyrus brachyistius, 4295 nucleotides. RefSeq lists it as uncharacterized. The transcript has 3 exons. The record is from RefSeq and is a predicted model, not a curated record. Lineage: Eukaryota; Metazoa; Chordata; Actinopteri; Osteoglossiformes; Mormyridae.